Molecule: long non-coding RNA, 2517 nt
Filed under: Xyrichtys novacula (pearly razorfish)
Lineage: Eukaryota; Metazoa; Chordata; Actinopteri; Labriformes; Labridae
Source: RNAcentral
GCGCGAGGCUGUCAACCAUCAUCACGCCCCCCUCCCAUCCUCACGAGACAGGAAUAUAUCUCAAUCAUCCCGUUACAGGUAAAUGUGAGGUUUUAUUGAAAUUUCUGUAUCAUCUUUUUAUUUUUCCUUGUUUUCAAGAUGCAGCACAUCGUGUUUCUGAAUUUAUUUGCCUAUUUGAAAAACAGGGAAAAAUAUUGUAUUCGUUUUUAGUGUUUACCCAUGUGACCCAUGGUUUUAAUCAUAGACUGUGUAUAUACUCUAUACUAUAUUAUAUAUAGAUUAUAUAGACAGCCUUUGAUUAUAAGUGGUCGAACCAGGUCUUUUUUAUGUAAGGAAAAAAUGACAUGAUUUGUGAGUAGGUUUAACAUCUCAGCUAUAAUAUAAUAAUUGUGCCAUCUAGAGAUUACCUUUUACAAGCCCAAAUCCUGAAAAGUUGGGAUGCAAUGUUAAAUGUACAUCAAAAAUUGUGAUGGUUUGCAUCUCACUCAAACCUUUUAUUUGAAUAAAAGCAAUGUAAAGACAUCAUAUUCAAUGUGGAAAACAGUAAAUUUUAUGGUUCAUGAAGAUAUGCUGUUUUGAUAUGAAAAAUGUCGGGAUCAGGACAACAAAACCUUGAGAAAGUUGUGUAAUCCAAAAAACAAAACACCUGAAGGGAACAACGCCCAGAUAAAUGGAUGGGUUAAUUUACAACAGCUGGGUAAAAUCACAAAGUAUGAAAAAGACAUUUCUGAGAGGAGAGAUGGGAUGUUCACCAUCACUGUGAGAAACUGUGUGAGUAAAUAGUUCAACAGCAGCAGGAUAAAACUCCCCUGAAUUAAGAAUUUUAGUUUGAAUCAUGUACAUAAUAAAAUAAUAAGAACAUGAAAUUCUGGAGAAAUCUUUGUUGAAAAAGGGACAGGGUAGAAAAUCAACUCUUUAUAAUGAUAAAAAAAAUGAAAUCCAAGAGCAUAUUAUACAACGCUCAGAAGCAUGUCAAAAAAGACAAAUAAAUAAAUAAAUAAAACACAAUAACCUAAAUGAACUCUGAAUGAACCCAGGCAGUGCGGGGACAAAACUACAUAAAAAGAGACCUGAGGCCCAGAGAUAAAAGAGCAUAUAGAAAGACCAAAUAGAGUUUAAGUUUAGAGGAAAAAAUGGCUGGAAUUUUUCAGUCUCUCACAUGGCACUGCUUUAACAACCAAUAUGACUCACAUGCUCAAGAUAUAAUUUAAACCAUUUUUUGUGAACACAGUUUAUUGUUAAAUCCACAAAUGCACAGUAAAACUCUGCCAAAUAAUAAUAAUAAUAAUAAUAAUAAUAAUAAUAAUAUCUUACAUUUGUAUAGCGCCUUUCAAGAUACCCAUACAAGUGAUCCAGAAAUGGACUGUGGCCAAGUGGAGAAGUGCCCUGUGAUUUUACAAACCAAAUUUGACAUUAUUUUUGGUAAUCAUAGAUGCCCUGUUCUCUGCUGUAAAGAAGACUGUGACCAUCUUGUCAUUAGUGCACAGUUCAAAAGCCAGCAUUCAUAUGGAGAUGCAUGAGUGUUCAAGGCUAGGGUCAUAAUUUUAUCUCAGAAAGCACCAUCAAUGCUGAACAGUAUAUUCGGGUUUAAGAGCAAUGUAUGCUGCCAAAAAGAUCCUUUCUUUUUCAAACAAGACAACGCCAAACCACAUUCUGCAUGAAGUAACAUGGCUCUGUAGUUUUAGAGUCCAUUUGCUAAACUGGCCUGUCUGCAGUCCAGAUUUGUCACCUACUAAAAUAUCUGGCCCAUCAUCAAACAGAAAGUAUGAAGGAGGAGAUCCUUAGCUGUUAAGCAGCUAAAAUCCAUCAGCAGGAACAGGACAAUGUUUCACUUUAAUAACUCAGAACUGGGGCAGCACAGUGUUGUAGUGGUUAGCACUGUCGCCUCACAGCAAGAAGGUCCUGGGUUCGAAUCCAGGUCAGGGCAUUUCUGUGUGGAGUUUGCAUGUUCUCCCUGUGUCUGCGUGGGUUUACUCCAGGUACUCUGGUUUCCUCCCACAUACCAAAAACAUGCCUAAGUGGGGUUAGGUUAAUUGGCCACUUCCAGGUUGCCCAUAGGUGUGAAUGGUUGUUCGUCUCUAUUUGCAGCCCUGCGAUGAACUGGCGUCUUGUCCAGGGUGUCCCCUGCCUUCACCCAAAAGAUGCUGGGAAAAUACCUACACAGCAUGCUGGGAUAGGCUCCAGCCCCCGCGACCCUGGGAACAGGGAUAAGAGGUAGAAAAUGGAUGGAUGGAACUCAGAACUUGUCUCCUUGUUCCUCAAAUGAGGGUUUAUAACAAAGAGACGAUGCUGCAGGAUGGAAAAAAUGUUGGUGUUCUGACUUAAUAAAUGUGUUGCUGGUAUUGAAUUAAAAGUCAGCAUGUAUUUUUCCUCAAACCUUUGAAAUCUCCACUUUCAACAUUUGAUAUGUGUUGAUAUGUGUGUUUGAACUACUGUUGAGUGAAUACAGCAUUUAAAAUGAUUGGCAAAUCAUUAUAUUCUAUUUCUAUAAACAUUUAACACAAUAUACCAACUUUU